RNAcentral lists this ribosomal RNA (253 nucleotides) under uncultured bacterium. RNAcentral describes it as "partial 16S ribosomal RNA". It matches the Rfam family "Bacterial small subunit ribosomal RNA", at positions 524 to 776 of the family's 1533-position model. The record is from RNAcentral.
UACAGAGGUCUCAAGCGUUGUUCGGAUUCACUGGGCGUAAAGGGUGCGCAGGCGGCCAAGUGUGUUAGGUGUGAAAGCCCGGGGCUUAACCCCGGAAUUGCACCUAAAACUACAUGGCUAGAGCAUUGGAGAGGGGAGCAGAAUUCACGGUGUAGCAGUGAAAUGCGUAGAUAUCGUGAGGAAUACCAGAGGCGAAGGCGGCUCCCUGGACAAUUGCUGACGCUCAGGCACGAAAGCGUGGGGAGCAAAAGGG